Molecule: ribosomal RNA, 305 nt
Filed under: uncultured bacterium
Lineage: Bacteria
Description: bacterial SSU rRNA
Rfam family: Bacterial small subunit ribosomal RNA
Source: RNAcentral
UCCUACGGGGGGCAGCAGUGGGGAAUAUUGCACAAUGGGGGAAACCCUGAUGCAGCGACGCCGCGUGGGCGAGGAAGUACCUCGGUAUGUAAAGCCCUAUCAGCAGGGAAGAAACAGGACAGUACCUGACUAAGAAGCCCCGGCUAACUACGUGCCAGCAGCUGCGGUAAUACGUAGGGGGCAAGCGUUAUCCGGAUUUACUGGGUGUAAAGGGUGCGUAGGUGGCAGGGCAAGUCAGAUGUGAAAGCCCGGGGCCCAACCCCGGUACUGCAUUUGAAACUGUCCGGCUGGAGUGCAGGAGAGGG